This 274-nucleotide small RNA is filed under the name Pan troglodytes (chimpanzee). Its description in RNAcentral is "processed transcript". The record is from RNAcentral. Lineage: Eukaryota; Metazoa; Chordata; Mammalia; Primates; Hominidae.
UGCUGGAGACCAUUGACCAGCUGUACUUGGAGUAUGCCAAGCGGGCUGCACCCUUCAACAACUGGAUGGAGGGGGCCAUGGAGGACCUGCAGGACACCUUCAUUGUGCACACCAUUGAGGAGAUCCAGUUGCAGAAUACUGGAUUUAAAAGGUUUUGCCAGGAGCUAAGGAAGCUCAUGUUGUGGGAGGUCAUCUGGGUAGUGAGCCUCUGGAGCAGCCCUUCUCCCUGACCUGUGAGGUGGUGAACACACCAGAGAGGUUGCUGUUAAUUUGA